UGCUUGCUUCGGCAGCACAAUACUAAAAUUGGAAUGAUACAGAGAAGAUUAGCAUGGCCCCUGCACAAGAAAAACAUAUUUUGGGCCCGGAGAGAUAGCACAGCGGC
Suncus etruscus (white-toothed pygmy shrew) is the source of this 107-nucleotide small nuclear RNA. Lineage: Eukaryota; Metazoa; Chordata; Mammalia; Eulipotyphla; Soricidae. The record is from RefSeq and is a predicted model, not a curated record.